This 1353-nucleotide ribosomal RNA is filed under the name uncultured fungus. Its description in RNAcentral is "eukaryotic LSU rRNA". The stretch from base 688 to 1353 matches the Rfam family "Eukaryotic large subunit ribosomal RNA", at positions 1 to 649 of the family's 3401-position model. Lineage: Eukaryota; Fungi. The record is from RNAcentral.
AAGUCGUAACAAGGUUUCCGUAGGUGAACCUGCGGAAGGAUCAUUAUCGAAUAAACUUGAACAGGCUGUUGCUGGCCCUCCUCAUGGGGGGGAUUACGUGCACGCUUGUCUCAUCUUUGUUAUUUCUCCAACUGUGCACAUUUUGUAGAUCCUGGAUGGAGCUUUAUGAAUUUUCAUUCGAGUCGGGACUGCUGUGCUUCCUUUUUUUGUGAAGUCAGCUUUCCCCUUGCACCUUCCAGGUCUAUGUUAUUUUUUUUCACAACCUCUCAAAUGUGUUUAGAAUGUUGAAUCAGGAGCUUUGUGCACCUAUAUAAAUGAACUAUACAACUUUCAGCAACGGAUCUCUUGGCUCUCGCAUCGAUGAAGAACGCAGCGAAAUGCGAUAAGUAAUGUGAAUUGCAGAAUUCAGUGAAUCAUCGAAUCUUUGAACGCACCUCGCGCUCCUUGGUAUUCCGAGGAGCAUGCCUGUUUGAGUGUCAUUUGACUUAUCAACCGCAUCAGAUGUUUUGAUGUGGCUUGGACAUGGGGGUAUCUUUUGCUGGCUUUUUCUUUUACAGAAGGUCAGCUCCCCUGAAAUGUAUUAGUGGUGUCUGAGCUACUGCUAUAGGUGUGAUAAUUAUCUAUGCCUUUGGUAUACUGCAUGAACAGAUUGGACUGCUUAUAACAAACAAUUGAAUUUGACAAAUCUGACCUCAAAUCAGGUAGGACUACCCGCUGAACUUAAGCAUAUCAAUAAGCGGAGGAAAAGAAACUAACAAGGAUUCCCCUAGUAACUGCGAGUGAAGCGGGAAAAGCUCAAAUUUGUAAUCUGGCAGUUCUUGGGACUGUCCGAGUUGUAAUCUAGAGAAGUGCUACCUGUGCUGGACCGUGUAAAAGUCUCCUGGAAUGGAGCAUCACAGAGGGUGAGAAUCCCGUCUUUGACAUGGACUGCCUGUACGAUAUGGUGCGCUCUCGAAGAGUCGAGUUGUUUGGGAAUGCAGCUCAAAAUGGGUGGUAAAUGCCAUCUAAAGCUAAAUAUUGGCGAGAGACCGAUAGCGAACAAGUACCGUGAGGGAAAGAUGAAAAGAACUUUGGAAAGAGAGUUAAACAGUACGUGAAAUUGCUGAAAGGGAAACGCUUGAAGUCAGUCGCGUCGGCUAGAAAUCAACCUUGCUUCUGCUUGGUGUACUUUCUGGUUGAUGGGUCAGCAUCAAUUUUGACCAUUGGAUAAAGUCAUUGGGAAUGUGGCAUCUCAGGAUGUGUUAUAGCCCGUUGUCGCAUACUGUGGUUGGGAUUGAGGAACUCAGCACGCCGCAAGGCCGGGUUUCGACCACGUUCGUGCUUAGGAUGCUGGCAUAAUGGCUUUAAUCGACC